RNAcentral lists this ribosomal RNA (291 nucleotides) under uncultured bacterium. RNAcentral's name for it is "partial 16S ribosomal RNA". It matches the Rfam family "Bacterial small subunit ribosomal RNA", at positions 330 to 643 of the family's 1533-position model. The record is from RNAcentral.
UCCCCUCCUUUUCUCAGCAGUGGGGAAUAUUGCACAAUGGGGGAAACCCUGAUGCAGCAACGCCGCGUGAGUGAAGAAGUAUUUCGGUAUGUAAAGCUCUAUCAGCAGGGAAGAAGAUGACGGUACCUGACCAAGAAGCCCCGGCUAACUACGUGCCAGCAGCCGCGGUAAUACGUAGGGGGCAAGCGUUAUCCGGAUUUACUGGGUGUAAAGGGAGCGCAGACGGCAGUGCAAGUCUGGAGUGAAAGCCCGGGGCCCAACCCCGGAACUGCUCUGGAAACUGUGCGGCUA